GUAGGCGGUUUGUCGCGUCUGCUGUGAAAGGCCGGGGCUUAACCCCGUGUAUUGCAGUGGGUACGGGCAGACUAGAGUGCAGUAGGGGAGACUGGAAUUCCUGGUGUAGCGGUGGAAUGCGCAGAUAUCAGGAGGAACACCGAUGGCGAAGGCAGGUCUCUGGGCUGUAACUGACGCUGAGAAGCGAAAGCAUGGGGAGCGAACAGGAUUAGAUACCCUGGUAGUCCAUGCCGUAAACGUUGGGCACUAGGUGUGGGGGACAUUCCACGUUUUCCGCGCCGUAGCUAACGCAUUAAGUGCCCCGCCUGGGGAGUACGGCCGCAAGGCUAAAACUCAAAGAAAUUGACGGGGGCCCGCACAAGCGGCGGAGCAUGCGGAUUAAUUCGAUGCAACGCGAAGAACCUUACCAAGGCUUGACAUAUACUGGACCGCAUCAGAGAUGGUGUUUCCCUUCGGGGCUGGUAUACAGGUGGUGCAUGGUUGUCGUCAGCUCGUGUCGUGAG
This 503-nucleotide ribosomal RNA is filed under the name uncultured bacterium. RNAcentral describes it as "bacterial SSU rRNA". It matches the Rfam family "Bacterial small subunit ribosomal RNA", at positions 571 to 1071 of the family's 1533-position model. The record is from RNAcentral.